AUAACGGUCCUAAGGUAGCGAAAUUCCUUGUCGGGUAAGUUCCGACCUGCACGAAUGGCGUAAUCAUGGCCACACUGUCUCCACCCGAGACUCAGUGAAAUUGAAUUUGCGGUUAAGAUGCCGUAUACCCGCGGCUAGACGGAAAGACCCCGUGAACCUUUACUAUAGCUUGACAGUGAACAUUGCUCCUACAUGUGUAGGAUAGGUGGGAGACUAUGAAACCAUGUCGCUAGAUGUGGUGGAGUCUACCUUGAAAUACCACCCUUGUAUGCGUGAUGUUCUAACCUAGGGCCCUUAUCGGGCUUGGGGACACUGUCUGGUGGGUAGUUUGACUGGGGCGGUCUCCUCCUAAAGAGUAACGGAGGAGCACGAAGGUUGGCUAAGUAUGGUCGGACAUCAUACGGUUAGUGCAAUGGCAUAAGCCAGCUUAACUGCGAGACAGACACGUCGAGCAGGUACGAAAGUAGGUCAUAGUGAUCCGGUGGUUCUGUAUGGAAGGGCCAUCGCUCAACGGAUAAAAGGUACUCCGGGGAUAACAGGCUGAUACCGCCCAAGAGUUCAUAUCGACGGCGGUGUUUGGCACCUCGAUGUCGGCUCAUCACAUCCUGGGGCUGAAGUCGGUCCCAAGGGUAUGGCUGUUCGCCAUUUAAAGUGGUACGCGAGCUGGGUUUAGAACGUCGUGAGACAGUUCGGUCCCUAUCUGCCGUGGGCGUUUGAGAAUUGAAGAGGGCUGCUCCUAGUACGAGAGGACCGGAGUGGACGAACCACUGGUGUUCGGGUUGUCAUGCCAAUGGCAUUGCCCGGUAGCUACGUUCGGAACUGAUAACCGCUGAAAGCAUCUAAGCGGGAAGCAGGCUUUGAGAUGAGUUCUCACUGGAGCUUUAAGCUCCCUAAAGGGUCGUUGGAGACUACAACGUUGAUAGGUCAGGUGUGUAAGGGUUGUGAGGCCUUGAGCUAACUGAUACUAAUUACCCGUGAGGCUUAAC
This 986-nucleotide ribosomal RNA is filed under the name Eucampia antarctica. RNAcentral describes it as "partial Bacterial large subunit ribosomal RNA". It matches the Rfam family "Bacterial large subunit ribosomal RNA", at positions 1942 to 2925 of the family's 2925-position model. Lineage: Eukaryota; Bacillariophyta; Thalassiosirophyceae; Eucampiales; Eucampiaceae. The record is from RNAcentral.